UCCAACAGUUGUCAGCUAUUCAGGCUGUGUGGUGCCUGUGAUUGUGUUACACUGUUGGAAGAAUAAAUGCUGUUUAUUAAGGGUUGGCUCCGAGCACUGUUUUGGUGUAGGUGCUGAUUACCUUUAGGCAGUGUUGCAUCCCUGAGAGUGGAAUAACUCCUUGUGGAGUUGGUCCUGGUCUAGGUGCAAACAGU
Cricetulus griseus (Chinese hamster) is the source of this 194-nucleotide small nucleolar RNA. Its record names the gene SNORA74. It matches the Rfam family "Small nucleolar RNA SNORA74". Rfam says of the family: U19 belongs to the H/ACA class of snoRNAs. snoRNAs bind a number of proteins (including dyskerin, Gar1p and Nop10p in the case of the H/ACA class) to form snoRNP complexes. This class are thought to guide the sites of modification of uridines to pseudouridines by forming direct base pairing interactions with substrate RNAs. Lineage: Eukaryota; Metazoa; Chordata; Mammalia; Rodentia; Cricetidae. The record is from Ensembl.